RNAcentral lists this ribosomal RNA (217 nucleotides) under uncultured bacterium. Its description in RNAcentral is "partial 16S ribosomal RNA". It matches the Rfam family "Bacterial small subunit ribosomal RNA", at positions 521 to 736 of the family's 1533-position model. The record is from RNAcentral.
CUACGGGAGGAUGGCAAGCGUUAUCCGGAUUCAUUGGGUUUAAAGGGUGCGUAGGCGGGUUUCUAAGUUCAGUGGUGAAAACCUACAGCUUAACUGUAGAACUGCCAUUGAUACUGGAAGCCUUGAAUACGGUUGAGGUAGGCGGAAUGUGUAAUGUAGCGGUGAAAUGCUUAGAUAUUACACAGAACACCGAUUGCGAAGGCAGCUUACUAAGCCG